RNAcentral lists this transfer RNA (75 nucleotides) under Canis lupus familiaris (dog). It matches the Rfam family "tRNA". From Rfam's summary of the family: Transfer RNA (tRNA) molecules are approximately 80 nucleotides in length. The record is from Rfam by way of RNAcentral. RNAcentral also lists the same sequence under 1 other name. Lineage: Eukaryota; Metazoa; Chordata; Mammalia; Carnivora; Canidae.
GCCUGGGUGGCUCAAUGGUUGAGCGUCUGACUUUGGCUCAGGUCAUGAUCCUGGGGUCAAGUCCCACAUCGGGCU